GUCACUUGGGAUGUACACAUGUAUAUCUAUCAUUUAUGAGGGGGAUCUUUUAUUAUUAUUAUUUUGGUUAACAAGUCUUUAUUGAAGCAAAUAUAGUUUCACAUGUACAAUAGGACAAUUGCUACGAGUGUGAGACACGCAGGUCUCAGUGAAUAUAAACAAAGACGCAGGUAAGUAUUAGGUAUUCAGUAAUCAGUAUUACAUAAAAAUAAAAAGGAGAAAUAUAAGCAUCUAUCAGGGCCUACAGAACAUCACAAAAUAUAAUGCAGUGGUAGUCGUACCCUUCAAUGAUCAGCUAGGUGCGGAAACCGCGUUAUUGUUAUCAUCCCUGUUUUUUUCUAGCAGGUUCGGUUAUAUAGGAGGCAUCUGAAUUGUAGAUGUAGGAACAGAACUAUUAUUAUCUCCAUUUAUAUAGCGCCAACAGAUUCCAUAGCGCUUUACAAUAUUAUUAGAGGGGGGAUUUAACUAUAAAUAUGACAUUACAAGAAAACUUAAAGGAUCACUCUAGUGUCAAGAAAACAAACCCAUUUUCCUGACACUAUAGCAUCCUUGGGGGACCCUCACCCUCAGGGUCCCCCUCCCGCUGGGCUGAAGGGGUUAAAACCCCUUCAGCAGCUUACCUUAAUCCAGUGCAGGUGACCUCCCCUCCCGACAUCAGCUCCAGAGUGGAACGGAAUGCGCAUGCGCGGCCAGAGCUGCGCGCGCAUUUAAACAGUCCAUAGGAAUUUCACAUCCAACGUCGCAGAAGCGCCUCUAGCGGCUGUCAUGAAGACAGCCACUAGAGGUUGGAUUAACCCUGCUAUGUAAACAUAGUUUCUCUGAAACUGUUUACAUGUGAAGGGUUAAAACCUGAGGGACUUGGCACCCAGACCACUUCAUUGAGCUGAAGUGGUCUGGGUGACUAAAGUGUCCCUUUAACUAUUCAUCUUGUGUAUAUUCCUUUGGUCAGACCGAGUACUGGGAAGUGGGACAUAAUUUGAGGCAUGAGAUCUAGGCUGUGGCCAGGAUAAGUAGGUUUGCAUAUAUAUCCUUCCCCAUAUCUCUCAUAAACUCAAUGUUGCUAUAGGAAAGGACUCUCAAAAUAGGUCUAUAACUGUGUCAGCACCAAUAUUAGCGGUUGGCUCCUAAGUAUCCGGUUGCUCUGUCCAGGCCCAUCCAUGUCAUCGCCUUCUGGGUAGGCAGUAGUUAGAAAUAAAUAGGUCAAGAAGCAGUAGGUAACAGUGUAAUACAAGAUAGGUGAGCAAUGCGGUAAGGGGGGACAUAUAGGCAAGCUGUGGGUCGAACCCAUUAUUCUAGACCCUGCAAGUCAUUACCCGCACCCCCGACUAGCACAGCAUCUGCCCAUGCCACAUACCCAAACCAGGGCCACCACAGAUCUGUGUGUUUUGCGUCAUUACCUACCAGAGAUGCCUGCAUUGCUUCCGCUGAAUGUAUUUCCCCCACCCUUCCUAACCACUGCACGAUCGCAUGGGUCUUAUCUUGUUUCCACAGGGCAGGUAUCAGCGAUUUGGCUGCAUUUAGGACGUGACGGUAGAUGGAUUUUUUUUUAAUAUGGCUAAUGGGGACAGGGUAGCAUGUAGAAGAACAUUUUCUAUCUAGAAGUAUUCCCGAGACCUUGAUUUUGACCCAAUUCCCCAAAUGGUUUUAUUUGGUUACAAUCCCACCACAAGUUUCUGAUUGUCCCUUCCGCCUCUCCAGCAUGUGCUUGGCACUGUGGGGUACACCCUGUACAGGUAUUCAGGCGUUCUGUACCAAGAAGAGAGUAGCUUGUAGUUGGUUUACUGGUGCCUACUGCUUACCUAGCUUUUAUGGGAUAAUAUUAGGAGCUUCUCCCACUGUGCGCUAUUAUUAUUAUUAAUUCUAGUUUUGGAAAAUGAAGAUUUAAUUCCUCAGUGAUUCCGUAACUAUUUGGCCUCUAUUAUAAUUUGAAUCUAUUAAAGGGAUACUAUAGUCAUCAUAACAACUAGAGAUAUUGCAUUUGUUCUGGUGAGUAAUCAUUCUCUUCAGGCUUUUUGCAGUAAACACUGUUUUUUUUCAGAGAAAAUGCAAUGUUUACAUUACAGGCUAGGGAUACCUCCACUGACCACUCCUCAGAUGGCUGCUAGAGGUACUUCCUGGGGUAGUGCAUGCAGACACUGAACUUUCCUUAUAGAGAUGCAUUGAUUUAAUGUAUCUCUCUGAGGAGAUGCUAAUUGGCCAGGGCUGUGUUUGGCUUUUGCUGGCUCUGCCUCCUUGACAGUCUUAGCCAAUCCAGUGCUUUCCUAUGUUAAAAGUAUUGUGAUUAGCUAACACCACUUCUGAUGAUGUCAGCGAAGCAGUCAAGUCAGGGGCAGAGCCAGCAGCAGACUGAAAUAAGGGUAAAAUUUUCUAUAUUUAGAUGGCAGGGGGAUUAUGGUUUUAACACUUUUGGGUCAGAAAUAAAUGUUUGUGUUCCUGACCCUAAAGUGUUCCUUUAAAAUAAGAUUUAGUUUCUUGUGAGCUCAAUUUAGUUAAAAGGGACACUCCAGGCACCCAGACCACUUCUGCCCAUUGGAGUGGUCUGGGUGCCAACUCCCACUACUCUUAACCCUGCAAGUGUAAUUAUUGCAGUUUUUUUAUAAACUGUAAUAAUUACCUUGCAGGGUUAAUUCCACCUCUAGUGGCUGUCUAGUAGACAGCCACUAGAGGGCACUUCCUGGUUUCAAUGCUUUCCUAUGGGGAGCGCCAAUGCGCAUGCACGGCCGGGAUCAGUCUCGUCCACCAUCCGACGUAAUGCAGAGGAGGAGGUUUUCACCCCUUCAGCAACAGAGGAUUGGGGGUGGGAGGGAGAGGGGACCUGCAGUGCCAGGAAAACAGAUUGCUUUCCUGGCACUAGAGUUUCCCUUUAAUACAGUUAUUACAUUUCAGACGCAUCGAAAGAACCGAAUUGACACAAUAUUAAAUGGCUGCUCCAGACUUGACAUUUAAAAACCAGCCCACUCCAUUCAAAAUUUCAAAGAAAACAAAUCUUCGAUACAUUCACAGCGAUUUCAGCUGAGGUGCCAGUUCCAAAUUGAAUUUUAAAUAAUGGCAAUUUACUCUUUAUUAACCAAUCUUACAAAAAUUGUGGAAUUUCAAAAACAUUUUGCACUUACUGAAAUGAAUAAAAAAUAUUUAUUUUUUAAAGUGUCUUUAAAACGGUUUAAUGAUGCGGAAUAUUCAGUUGCAUGAUUUACGUUUAUGUUUAAUCUGUAUGAGGGAGAUCAUAUCUGACCCUGACCUUUAAACUAGUGUCAUGUUCAGUCUAAUGAGAUUUAAACUGGGUAAGCCUAACCUCCCACUGACCAAUAAAUGCACUCGCUCAGCACUUCCCUCUUAGCAAAAAUAGACACCCCCACCCUCUCCUCCAUCUCAAUCUAUUCUAAGGGCCCAAAGCAGCAAUAAAACGGUAUGGAAGCCUAGCACUGUUAUUACAAAGCUGUAUUAAUUCAGUUCUAUAUUACAUUUUGGAAAAGUUAAUCUUCGCUCUCUAAUCACUCAUGCAAGUAACUGCCCACUAAGCUCCUCUCACUUUAUACUCCCAUACAUUCCUGAUCUGGUACACGGCUAUCCACAAAACAGUGAAUUGUACACCAAAUUGCACCAUUCAAGCUGUGACUAAAUACAAGAAAUAGUUUAUAUCUCUCAUUGUAAUUCCGUUGUCAGUGCUGAAUAAGCCCACACCAGACUUAUUUAUCUGAGCCAGAGGACCAGGUUAACAUAGUGGCGGAUGGCGUUGCAGCUUCAUGACCACGACCUCUUCCUAAUACAUUCACCAUUUUCCACUGCCCGGGCUAUUUACCAAAAUCAGCUAUUAAAAUACAAAUGGUCAGCUGGUUAUCAAAGGACUGUCAGCGUGCCAAGUUAAGCACAUAUAUCUUUAUGACAGUAACCCCCUCUAAACGCCACCGAUGUCCCACGGACACAUGCUAUAUACACAUGGAAACCAAUGGAAUGUUCCUGCAGAUUGCUCUACUUUUACAACUUUACCCUUAGAAACAUAGAAUGUGACGACCAUUCGGCCCAUCUAGUCUGCCUAGUUUUCUAAAUACUUUCAUUAGUCCCUGGCCUUAUCUUAUAGUUAGGAUAGCCUUAUGCCUAUCCCAAGCAUGCUUAAACUCCUUUACUGUGUUAACCUCUACCACUUCAGCUGGAAGGCUAUCCCAUGCAUCCACUACCAUCUCAGUAAAGUAAUACUUCCUAAAAUUAUUUUUAAACCUUUGCCCCUCUAAUGUCCUCUUGUUGUGGUAGUCUUUCCUCUUUUAACCCCUUUAAGGACUGAGCCAGUUCUACAAGUUGUGAUCAAAACAAAACGUAAACAAAACCUUGAAUUUGCGCUAUAUGUCUGUUCAGGCGUGAUUCACCUCUUUCAUAUUAAAUGCACCCACACUUAUUAUAUUUAAUUUUGUUCAGGAAAAAUCAGGACUUUCAUGUCACAUCAAAUAUUUAUAUAUUAAACAGAAUUUAAUAUGACAAAUGUAAAAA
RNAcentral lists this long non-coding RNA (4482 nucleotides) under Pelobates cultripes (western spadefoot toad). The record is from RNAcentral. Lineage: Eukaryota; Metazoa; Chordata; Amphibia; Anura; Pelobatidae.